This is a long non-coding RNA of Phyllostomus hastatus (greater spear-nosed bat), 477 nucleotides long. RefSeq lists it as uncharacterized. The transcript has 3 exons. The record is from RefSeq and is a predicted model, not a curated record. Lineage: Eukaryota; Metazoa; Chordata; Mammalia; Chiroptera; Phyllostomidae.
CUGGAGGGGAUGGGGGGGAAGUCUGAGGCCACACGGUUGAGCAGGCGACGGGUGAAGAGCCAGAGCCUGCGGGAGGGGGGUGCUGCAAGGCCGCGUGGGCAUGCAGGCUGGCGCGCUGCACAGCGUCUCCAGGUAGCUGCAGAGGGGAGAGCCUGGCGGGGAACCGGCUUUGGGCGGACAUCUCCCCGGCUUCAUUACGCCGGAGCCUGAAGGAGCAUCAGUGACCUCAGUAUCACCUGGAAGCUUGUUAGAAAUGCCUACUCUCAGCCUCUGCCCCAGAUCAACUGAAUUAGACCCUCCUCUGGCAAGAUCCUUGUGUGAUAUGAAUACAUAUCAAAGGGUCUCCCUCUGAUUUUGAUGCCGUUCUUGACCACAAAAAGGAUACUGCAGCUGGUCCAUGGCCUGCUGGUUGAUGGUCCCCAUGCUGUUGUACACAAAGGUGCUGCUCAGCAGUAUUGCGAGAGCAAAGAUCCAGGA